Triticum aestivum (bread wheat) is the source of this 2733-nucleotide long non-coding RNA. RefSeq lists it as uncharacterized. The record is from RefSeq and is a predicted model, not a curated record. NCBI's taxonomy places the organism in Eukaryota, Viridiplantae, Streptophyta, Magnoliopsida, Poales, Poaceae. The transcript has 3 exons.
ACAGAUCAAUGGGGGCGCUGCGACGCGGGCUAUCCGCGAUGGGAUCCAGCGUCUGCUGGUCUUCUUAGUGGAUCGAGCCGAGGCGCUCAAGGAGAUCCAAUGGAGUGUGGCCUUCUCGGUGGAUCCAGCUGAGACGCGCGAGAGCAUCUUCCUAGGGUUUGAAGUUGGUGACCGAGGAGGAGGCGGCGCCAGCGAUGGCGCGCAAGCCGUGCACGAGGCCACGACGACUCCACAAAGACGGCUCUCCAUUCUUCCCGACCCGCGACCGCGUGCUCUCCGAGCUCCAACACCUUCGCUCCACGCUCGCCGCGUCGCUGCCCUCCACAUCACCAUGGCGAUGAUUUCUCGGAUUCGAGGUGGGUUGUGCUUGGUGCCUAGAUGGGUUGGUUCUGCUCGGUUGUAAGGUCAGCAAAUGCAGCAGUUGGUGUGAUCGCAGAAACAAAUGCUGAAAAAGCACUCGAGGUUCUUACUUCUAAACAAGGCUCAAACGUGGUGCUUAAUUCUGCAGAUCUGAUUUACUGUUGUUUGAUAUAUUAUUCUCUUUGCAAAUGUUGUGAGAUAUGUGUGGCGUUAAUCUUCUGAUGCCCUACAUUUUCCCUUUCCCUCUCUUUACCUACAAACAUUUAUAUAAAAACUUAGAGGUGGAACUUGGGAGUGUUUAAAAGACUGGCAUCUAAUAUCUUGGAUGCAUGAUUGUGUAUUACACCAUGUUUAUCCUGGUCAUGUUCUCCUAUUUUGAACUCCAGCCUUGAACUUGAAUGCCAGAGUCCAUCGCUACUUGUUGUCCCUAGACGAGAGGUCGUCCAAGAUGGCGGCAAUGCCGGCUGUUCCUUCCCCUGUGGUGGCGGCCAAAUGUGCCCCCCUUCUAGGUGAGAUCUGCACCUCAUCUCUCUGUCUCUCAAGCCCUAAUCAACGUUGUGGCAGCGACGGCCACCACAGACGACAUGCCAUCCUCUCACUUCUAGGCAACGAGGCGGCGGUGCCUGCGCCCCCAAAACAAAUCCAUAUGCGAGCAGAUCGUCUCAGUGCUGCCUCCACCUGAGCAACACCUACAAAUUCGUUCAAGGCCCCAUCUGGUUGUUAUAUUGGGCAGAGAAAAAAACAUAGCCUACAGGUUCGACUCUUAAAUCCAAUGGUUCGUCUUCAUAUUUCUAAUAGGAUGGAUUGACACUAUUAUUUUGCUACAUCUAUGGAAGUAAGUGAAACUAUCCUCGUGUGUGAUUCUCUGCAAAAUAUUCUCCCUGCAUAUAUGUAGCACUAAUUUGUAGGUCAAGCAAAUCAUAUACUAGAGAGAGAUUAAAGCAUAAGUUUAUUCAUGUUGCAGGAUAGCGAUCUUUGCAUAAGCACUGCCUGAAAGCCAGUUGAUCAGUAUGUUCUCUUGCUAUACCAUCUUUGAUUAGUAUACUUUGUUUGAUAAUAUUUUCCUUUCUAUGAUGAGAUCUGUUGACUAGGUUUGUUAUCUCCAUAGGUAUCUAUGUAAAUAUGGCAACGUGAUGUUUAGUAUUGCAAACUGAACUUCAUAUUUAUAUCUUUUAUUUGUGGUGGACUGUAUUACAAUUAAGUCUUAACAACCUGAACAUGAUAGCUAUGUCAUAUUCUUUGCUCUCUCCCCGUGGUGGAAUCCAAGUUAACUUCUAGGGCACUUGUAGGUGAGGGAGAUGAUGGCAGGCUUUUGUUCCCCUUCUAUUGAGACUUUUUCUCUCCAGGAACAGCAUCAAUACCACAUGCCCACAAUCUGCUCUUGUUUGGAGGUGGGCCCUACAUCAGCAUUUUGCUGCCCUAUACAUUGUUUGAUUUUGUUUGACCAAUUCCUUUUUUCUCUAUUUUCCUUGACUAAUCAUCAUGCAUUUGGUUAUGGAUAUGUGUGGGCAUCUACAAUUAAGAAGCAAUCUCGCUUCACGGUUGUGGAAUUGUUCUCAUUAGUUUAGUGGAACAUGUCUUGGCCUCCAUACUAUUACAAUCUUAAUCCAAUGGGACUCCAUACUUUGGCAUUCAAUCUUCUUACAUCAGAUCUGGUGCAGGCAUCAUCUAUUGAGGCUUUGCAUUCCCUGUCAAUGAGUACAUCCGGUGUCAACCAUUUGCUUUGCUCCGAUAACACAUGUCGCUCACUCCACGAUCUAAUAGUUCUGUAUUUUGUGGAGCCAAUUAAAUCUCUGUGUUCAGUUAUAGUUGUAAAACAGUAGUGCAUGGUUAAGUUGUAUGAGCAUAUCACAUUGGCCUCUCCCUAGAAGCAAGCACAUCUUUCUGACUGUGAGGUGUACUUGGCUUUCUCUUACAAAAUUUAAAAAAUGGACACAUCCUAUAAGCUAAUGUAGGUAUGUUAAUAUUUUAAUAAAUAAUUGUACAAAUAGAACCAAAGUUCAGCUACAACUAGGCUUUUAUUAACUAUAUUGCUUUGCUUUUGUUUAAUUGGGUUCUUUUGUUGUUGAAUAUAAAAGAUUUAAGUUUUCUCUUCUCCUUUCCUUCCAUAAAAAUAAUCCAUCAUAUGCAUACUUCUCUCUAAGCCUUCUCUUGCAGAUAAUGCCUCUCUUCUAAUGGAGCCAGAGGAUAGUAUUCCAUUCUUCGAUGAAAUAUAGCCUAUUGAGAGAGUUGUCUUUCGGGCAUGUUGUAGCUUUUGGCUGUUUAUAUAUGUUGAUUUAUAAUUCUUUCCUGGUGUUCACAGAUAAUUGAUUUGUUACAUAUUUUCCAAGACACUAAUUAUGUGGAUUAUUAACUUUUUUUAUUAGUGUGGAA